RNAcentral lists this ribosomal RNA (1041 nucleotides) under Elsinoe krugii. RNAcentral describes it as "SSU rRNA". It matches the Rfam family "Eukaryotic small subunit ribosomal RNA", at positions 68 to 1118 of the family's 1831-position model. The record is from RNAcentral. Lineage: Eukaryota; Fungi; Ascomycota; Dothideomycetes; Myriangiales; Elsinoaceae. RNAcentral also lists the same sequence under 3 other names.
AGCAACUAUACGGUGAAACUGCGAAUGGCUCAUUAAAUCAGUUAUCGUUUAUUUGAUAGUACCUUACUACAUGGAUAACCGUGGUAAUUCUAGAGCUAAUACAUGCUAAAAACCCCGACUUCGGAAGGGGUGUAUUUAUUAGAUAAAAAACCAAUGCCCUUCGGGGCUCUCUGGUGAUUCAUAAUAACUUAACGAAUCGCAUGGCCUUGCGCCGGCGAUGGUUCAUUCAAAUUUCUGCCCUAUCAACUUUCGAUUGUAGGAUAGAGGCCUACAAUGGUAUCAACGGGUAACGGGGAAUUAGGGUUCGAUUCCGGAGAGGGAGCCUGAGAAACGGCUACCACAUCCAAGGAAGGCAGCAGGCGCGCAAAUUACCCAAUCCCGACACGGGGAGGUAGUGACAAUAAAUACUGAUACAGGGCUCUUUUGGGUCUUGUAAUUGGAAUGAGUACAAUCUAAAUCCCUUAACGAGGAACAAUUGGAGGGCAAGUCUGGUGCCAGCAGCCGCGGUAAUUCCAGCUCCAAUAGCGUAUAUUAAAGUUGUUGCAGUUAAAAAGCUCGUAGUUGAACCUUGGGCCUGGCUGGCCGGUCCGCCUCACCGCGUGCACUGGUUCGGCCGGGCCUUUCCUUCUGGGGAACCGCAUGCCCUUCACUGGGCGUGUUGGGGAACCAGGACUUUUACUUUGAAAAAAUUAGAGUGUUCAAAGCAGGCCUUCGCUCGAAUACAUUAGCAUGGAAUAAUAGAAUAGGACGUGCGGUUCUAUUUUGUUGGUUUCUAGGACCGCCGUAAUGAUUAAUAGGGAUAGUCGGGGCCAUCCGUAUUCAAUUGUCAGAGGUGAAAUUCUUGGAUUUAUUGAAGACGAACUACUGCGAAAGCAUUUGGCAAGGAUGUUUUCAUUAAUCAGUGAACGAAAGUUAGGGGAUCGAAGACGAUCAGAUACCGUCGUAGUCUUAACCAUAAACUAUGCCGACUAGGGAUCGGACGGUGUUAUUAUUUUGACCCGUUCGGCACCUUACGAGAAAUCAAAGUCUUUGGGUUCUGGG